AGGAGGGAUAUAUUCAGGAUUGGGGAGUGAUGGAAUACAUGUAACAGAAUUAUGUAUUUAAAAUACAAAAUAUUAGUAACUGUAUUCCGCUACAAUUACAGUUUAAAUUGUUGGUUAUAAAAAUACAGUUGCAUUCAAAAUGUAUUUUGAUAACUGAAGAGAUUACUUAACAGCAUUUUAUGUGAAAUGUCAUUUGUUCCAUUUAAUAUUUAGUCUAUUCAGUUGGAAAGCCUUUAUCCAUAUAAAUAAUGCGAUCCGAGGUGUAUCUGAACAGCAGUGAAAAUUUGUAUUAAGAUGCGUUACAUUUACACCAGCAAACAGAGAAUACAGGAUAAGGAUUUUUUUUUAAUCAUAUUAUAGUUAUUGAACUGACAACUAUCUAAUUAAAUGUUUUAGAGCUGAGCAUAACUAGAAAAACAAACUAUUAUGACUACAGAACUUUCCAUGACUAGAACUACAAUUCUAAAUUUCCCUUAUAUUACCAGGAUUUCCAUGACCACAGGUAUCCUAUAAUUUAAAAAAGCAGGUUAAAAUAUCUUCUUUGAUGGCAUGUUGUACAUUUGGUUACAAGACACGAUGAGAACCAAUGAAGAUUGAUGUUAUCAACAUCAAACCACCAUAUUCGAUUUAACUGUUUUUCUACACAUAUGGGGUGCUACAAAACCUAGUGAGCUUCCUCCAGAUGUAGCAUUUUAAGGCAUCCUAGUUGAGCUCCCGAAGAGAAGGCUGUUCCAAAAGGUAUGCAUCUUGAUUAUCCUGCCUCCUAAUAUUUCUCGUUUUGGCCAAAUUCUAAGGUAUCAUCGUAUGUAUCCUUCAUAUUGUUUUCACACAGCGGACAAUCCAAGCUUCGAAAAAUCCUGUAGACUUGAAAGUUGGAAUAUUCAAAUGGGCCAAUGGAAUUCUCAUUAAUUUAAACUGCAACUGUCAAAAAUUAAAAUGUAAACAAACCCACAAAAGGCCUUUAAUCUGCUUUAAGAUGUUCUUUUUCUUUCUAUCUAAAUGUAUCAACCGAAGUAUUCCACAAUUCACAAGUCUCCGGUCUGAUCACUUCUCCUGCAUCGACCUAUAUUCUUAGCAGGUUAAAAAAAACAUGUGGCUUUAUAUUGCCUAUACUUCAAAGAAUCGAGAUGACGUUUAUUUUUAAUUUUUUAUACAGAUCCUCAUCGGAGUAUGUAGAUGACAUGAAGCAAUGGUCUUAGGAGUUAGAAGCAAAGCAUCAUGUGGAGUAUUGGAACACCAACCUUGGAGAGAAGAAAUAAAUUGACACACUUCCUCCACACUCCAGUGAGCAGGGUUGCCAGAUAGGAAGGCCACUUGGAGGCCACUUGGUGCAGAAUCAUCCAAUUGAGGGCCACAGUGAGCUGGUCUUGAGCAUGAAAAGGAUGAGCUGGGCAGAUGCCUGCCUGCUAUUUUAGCACAGGCAAUCUCAGAGCUGCUCCUGCGAGGACUCCUGCGUCUAGCAAUAGCAUCCUGCAUCACAGGGCCCCCUGGUGUCCGUUC
Molecule: long non-coding RNA, 1500 nt
Organism: Xyrauchen texanus (razorback sucker)
Lineage: Eukaryota; Metazoa; Chordata; Actinopteri; Cypriniformes; Catostomidae
Exons: 3
Source: RefSeq, a predicted model, not a curated record